Molecule: ribosomal RNA, 407 nt
Filed under: uncultured bacterium
Lineage: Bacteria
Description: partial 16S ribosomal RNA
Rfam family: Bacterial small subunit ribosomal RNA
Source: RNAcentral
GACGAACGCUGGCGGCAUGCCUAAUACAUGCAAGUAGAACGCAGUUGCGAACGGGUGAGUAACGCGUAGGUGCCUGCCUCAUAGCGGGGGAUAACUAUUGGAAACGCUAGCUAAUACCGCAUCCUUUGAGAUGGACCUGCAUUGUAUUAGCUAGUUGGUGAGGUAAAGGCUCACCAAGGCGACGAUACAUAGCAUACCUGAGAGGGGGAGUGUGCAACCUGGGACUGAGUCACGGGCCAGACCCCUUCGGGAGGCAGCAGGAGGGAAUCAUUGGAAAUGGACGGAAGUCGUACCGAGCCACGCCGCGGUAGUGAAGAAGGUUUUCGGAUCGUAAAGCUCUGUUGUUAGAGAAGCGGUAACUAACCAGAAAGGGACGGCUAACUACGUGCCAGCAGCCGCGGUAAUAC